AAGUACAAUCAUACCAGCACUAAUGGACCAGAUUCCAUCAGAAUUUUGCAAUUAAACGUAUUUGUAUGAGAGUAGUAUUAGAAUGGGUCACCUCGCGCGAAGUCAGUAUGUUACACCAC
This 119-nucleotide ribosomal RNA is filed under the name Phaseolus vulgaris (common bean). The record is from RNAcentral. Lineage: Eukaryota; Viridiplantae; Streptophyta; Magnoliopsida; Fabales; Fabaceae.